Molecule: ribosomal RNA, 464 nt
Filed under: uncultured bacterium
Lineage: Bacteria
Description: partial 16S ribosomal RNA
Rfam family: Bacterial small subunit ribosomal RNA
Source: RNAcentral
GACGAACGCUGGCGGCGUGCCUAACACAUGCAAGUCGAGCGAAUGAAGUUCCUUCGGGACUGGAUUUAGCGGCGGACGGGUGAGUAACACGUGGGCAACCUGCCUCAUAGAGGGGAAUAGCCUCCCGAAAGGGAGAUUAAUACCGCAUAAGAUUGUAGUACCGCAUGAUACAGCAAUUAAAGGAGCAAUCCGCUAUGAGAUGGGCCCGCGGCGCAUUAGCUAGUUGGUGAGGUAAUGGCUCACCAAGGCGACGAUGCGUAGCCGACCUGAGAGGGUGAUCGGCCACAUUGGGACUGAGACACGGCCCAGACUCCUACGGGAGGCAGCAGUGGGGAAUAUUGCACAAUGGGGGAAACCCUGAUGCAGUAACGCCGCGUGAGUGAUGACGGCCUUCGGGUUGUAAAGCUCUGUCUUCAGGGACGAUAAUGACGGUACCUGAGGAGGAAGCCACGGCUAACUACGUG